GACGGAGGAUGCAAGCGUUAUCCGGAAUGAUUGGGCGUAAAGCGUCCGCAGGUGGCAGAUAAAGUCUGCUGUCAAAGACCGGGGCUUAACUUCGGAAAGGCAGUGGAAACUGAAGAGCUAGAGUAUGGUAGGGGCAGAGGGAAUUCCUGGUGUAGCGGUGAAAUGCGUAGAUAUCAGGAAGAACAUCGGUGGCGAAGGCGCUCUGCUGGACCAUAACUGACACUCAGGGACGAAAGCUAGGGGAGCGAAUGGG
Molecule: ribosomal RNA, 253 nt
Filed under: uncultured bacterium
Lineage: Bacteria
Description: partial 16S ribosomal RNA
Rfam family: Bacterial small subunit ribosomal RNA
Source: RNAcentral